This is a non-coding RNA of Biomphalaria pfeifferi, 2841 nucleotides long. The record is from the annotation of a GenBank genome assembly. Lineage: Eukaryota; Metazoa; Mollusca; Gastropoda; Planorbidae.
CUUUUUUUUUUGUUAUUUUAAUGCUUAAAUAAAUAUUUACAAAAUGAAAUGUUGAAAUAAAGUUAUUCAAACUAAAAAGAAACGUAUUAUGUACACUGAAUUAUAAAAUGCUAAAAAGAACUAUGAAAUGGAAAGAAAAGGCCAAACUGCAUCCUUAAAAUUUAAAUUUGGAAACGUAGUUUUGACAAUAAAUGUUAAACCCGAACAUUAGAUAGUGGUUGACAUUAGAUUCUCUAUUCUUUAAAGCUAUCCCUCUCGACUGUUAAUUGCCAGUUAAUUACCAACCUAAGUUAGUCAAAAAAAAAUGGAUGACUGUGAGCUCUAGAAGUGUAACUUUACUUCGGUUUAUAUAAUAUUGUACAUUUUGCGUUAACAAAUAUACUAUACAGCAGACUUUUCUUUUUCAAGGGAGUGUCAAUAAUCAUUUUAGUAUUGUUGUAACCCUGCCUUGCAUCAAUGCUUUUGGUGCGUACGAGCGUACAUUUGAACAAGGACAUGAAGAGGCUAGGACACAAGAAAGAACAGAGAGUGUAUCCAGUGGUUGGGGAAAGUCUGAAGUGUUGGGGGAACUAAGGAGCCAUCUUUCAUGCUUUCUAAAAGACUGUAAUAGGGACCUGGAGCGAAGCAAGGAAGACUGUCGUUGGUCCGUAUUCGGUUUGGUGGAGGAAGGAUUGGUAGAAUUAGGAACAAGACUCUUCGGUGUGGAAGGCUGUUAUGUGUUUGUCCUGGCGAAUAAACACACGUAUUUAUUUACUGUAGAACCUCCUUGAGUUGCCUUCCUUAGAUUUACAACAGUAUGUAGAAAGUCUUUUUAACCGUAGACUGGACCACCUGCAGUCGAACGUGAUAUAAAGAUAAAUCACACUAUAUUUUAGUCGAAAUAACAUAAUUCAAUAGGGCCGUCACUUACAAGGCUCUCAACUAUUGACUAAAAUAAUGAAUAGUACACAGUUAUCUAUUAAAUCCAAAGAAAACUUAGUGCAAGCAAUGAAGGUAAACUUUGGACAAUUAUAUCCCUAAACAAUCACAUUAUACAUUUUGUUGAUUUUUUAUUUUAGAAAAAAAUGUUGAAAAUCUUGAGAAUAAGUUUAUACAAUAAUAUAUAAAAAAAAAGUAAAUACUCAAGAAAUAUAAUGAUAAUAAUACCCAAAAAAAUCCAUUUAUAGACGAAAAAUAUUUACAAUUAUAUAUACAAAAUGUGUAUUUUUAAAACAAUUUAAUUUACAUAAAAUAUCCUUUCCUUUUUUAUCGUGAUUUGUCCUGACUUUACUGGGAAAGAAAGAUGUCGGUUAUACACGAAUACUUAAUUUAGAGAGUCAGAGUUAUAGAGCGAGACCGCUCCAGGGCGGUGGUUUAAAGUCUAACUACAAUUAUGAUCUUACUCGGCUCAUAUCACGCAACUUUGAAUUGGGAUCUAAGCGCAAAUUUCUCACCGCGAUUUCUAUUUUUAUGAAUACGAGUUGUCUUGGAAGGGAAGCGCUUUUAAAGGUCAAGCAGGUCAUUUACUGAAGGUAGCUUUGCUCACUCUUAAUCCCAAUGAGGCACCCACCUCUCACCUGUGGCUCUCAGUGGAUUAAGCGUGCGCAGCGUCACACGCCAAAUACGGUUUUGACUGGGCGGCUAAACUAGGUAGAGGGUAUCUGACGUGUUCGUGAAACUCAGUAAAUGUUGUGGUUCUUAUGCAACCUAGCAUGAAGUCUGGACUUGGUGCCCUGUAAGAAGUGUCACUCUGCUUACACUAAGGCAGUCAACAUCAGAGCGCUGUUGUGCGCUUAAGACACAUAGACACAAGACGCAUAAUAAAUAUAUAGACCAAACUCGUUCCCGGACGUCUUGACACACUCUUACUACCGGACUAUCUCCAAAACCGUUGCUUUGACAGUUCAAAACUUAACCAUCGCAUUUCCGAUGGUUUUAAUCGCGCAUACACUCAGCGCUGCUUUUCUGCCUGAAUGGCGCUCAGAAUACGGUAACUCGUUUGGCGGGUGGGGUUCCGCUUCGGAUCCGCUGAUGGAGUUCACAAGUCACAGACCGCAAGCUGCAACGGCAUUAAGUCAAAACCUUUAAAAAAAAUAAAAAUAAGUAAACUACCCCCUUAUAGAUCUUGCUUUCUAUGUUAAGGUCAACCGUUUCUAUGGUAACGGUUAAUCAGCAGGGUGUCAUGUGGUCAGCACAACUACAAACCGCCUUUACUGGGUGAACUCAGGGACGCCCUAAAAAUCCCGAAAGUGAAAAUCAAAGUAUUCACUGAGAUUUGAAUCCAGGACCCCAGGUUCGGAAGACAAGUGCUUUACCACUCUGCCACCGCGCCCCUCAUAACGUAGCUUUCAAAAGAAAAAAAAAUGGGCUUCAAUGUUAUCUGCACAUAGCCCACUGCCCAGCCAUCUUAUUUCAACUAAUAGUAUCAUAUUCUCAACCGAUACUGAAAUGUCAACGACAUAUAUUGCUUCCAAUGUUUGUUUCUAUGGCCGACUGUUAACGCGGGUAUCAUCUGGCCAGUAUAAUGACCAACCGCCUCUACAGAAUUAAAGCCACAUACCCAUUGGAGUAGGGUGGACUCAGGGGCGUCUUAAAAAUUCCUCGAUUCAAAAUUCUAGCCUUCAACGAGAUUUGAACCCGAGAUCGCUCGGGUCGGAAAUCAAGCGCUAUACCGCUCGGCCCCCACGCCCCUAAUUCAUAGAGUAUAUUUAAGUUCAACGUAAGGAAAUGUCGCUUUAAAAAUAAACACAAAUGUAUGCAAAUAGUCAAUGGCAAAAAAAAAAACAUAAAAGGGCCAAGGAGAAUGACCAUGGAAUGAUGGAAUGACCAUGGAAUGAUGGAAUGACCAUGGAAUGAUGGAAU